This 253-nucleotide unclassified non-coding RNA is filed under the name uncultured Caryophanaceae bacterium. Its description in RNAcentral is "uncultured Planococcaceae bacterium contains 16S-23S intergenic spacer region". It matches the Rfam family "Bacterial small subunit ribosomal RNA", at positions 524 to 776 of the family's 1533-position model. Lineage: Bacteria; Bacillati; Bacillota; Bacilli; Caryophanales; Caryophanaceae. The record is from RNAcentral.
UACGUAGGUGGCAAGCGUUGUCCGGAAUUAUUGGGCGUAAAGCGCGCGCAGGCGGUCCUUUAAGUCUGAUGCGAAAGCCAACGGCUCAACCGUGGAGGGUCAUUGGGAACUGAGGGACUUGAGUGCAGAAGAGGAAAGUGGAAUUCCACGUGUAGCGGGGAAAUGCGCAGAGAUGUGGAGGAACACCAGUGGCGAAGGCGACUUUCUGGUCUGUAACUGACGCUGAGGCGCGAAAGCGUGGGGAGCAAACAGG